GACGAACGCUGGCGGCGUGCUUAACACAUGCAAGUCGAACGGUAAGGCCCCUUCGGGGGUACACGAGUGGCGAACGGGUGAGUAACACGUGAGCAACCUGCCCUUGACUCUGGAAUAACAGUUGGAAACAGCUGCUAAUACUGGAUAUUCAUCGUCUCCUUCCUGGGGGGUGGUGGAAAGCUCCGGCGGUCAGGGAUGGGCUCGCGGCCUAUCAGCUUGUUGGUGAGGUAAUGGCUCACCAAGGCUUCGGCGGGUAGCCGGCCUGAGAGGGCGACCGGCCACACUGGGACUGAGAUACGGCCCAGACUCCUACGGGAGGCAGCAGUGGGGAAUAUUGCACAAUGGGCGCAAGCCUGAUGCAGCAACGCCGCGUGCGGGAUGACGGCCUUCGGGUUGUAAACCGCUUUCAGUAGGGACGAAGGGUGACUGACGGUACCUACAGAAGAAGGACCGGCUAACUACGUG
This 465-nucleotide ribosomal RNA is filed under the name uncultured bacterium. RNAcentral's name for it is "partial 16S ribosomal RNA". It matches the Rfam family "Bacterial small subunit ribosomal RNA", at positions 28 to 507 of the family's 1533-position model. The record is from RNAcentral.